RNAcentral lists this long non-coding RNA (1054 nucleotides) under Equus caballus (horse). RNAcentral describes it as "lncRNA (ENSECAG00000050080.1)". The record is from RNAcentral. Lineage: Eukaryota; Metazoa; Chordata; Mammalia; Perissodactyla; Equidae.
UGGCCAGAGGGCUCGGUGUGAGGCCAGGAGACCCGGGCCAGCCUCUGUCUCUGUGACCUUCCCUGGACCUCAGAUUUCCUUCCACGAAGUCAGGAGGGGGUGAGGUCUGCAGGACUCUUCCCACUUACGGUUUUCUGGGGUUUCACCCGUGGCCUAAACGCCUUCAGAAUCGGCGCCCUCUGUCUGGCCCACCCUCCCGCAGAAGGGCAGGGCCAGGUCUCCAGCCCCGCCUUCGCCCUCCCAUCUUCUCAGGAGCACUGAAUGCCCGAGCAAGCAGAAGAGGAAGAGCCAGGUGUCAGAGUUCUGGGAUCCCAGGACAUGAAUCUUUUCCUGCCCCUCGGACAGAGGCUGGGCACAGAGACAGAACCGCUGGCAGGAGCUCUCACCACCUCCAGUGUGCAUUCUGUCCGCUUCCUGCCGUUGGCCUGAGUUGUGGCCUGUAGUUCUGGAUGCAAAUACCCCCACCCCAGCUGCAUGUGACGCAUGCUGAGCCGUCACUGAGCUGGAGGCGCUGUGCUGCGCGUGGCCGUCAAGUCUCACUUUCGUCUCAGAAUCUGGUGGACACCGUCGGUUUCUCCAUUUUACUGAACUUGAGAAAGCUGUGCCCAAUGUCACAUGGUUGCACUCUGUGCCUGGCACUGGUCUAAGGGCUGGGCUCCAGCAGGGAAAAGACGAGACAAAAGGUCCUGAGGGCAGCAGACAUGUGACAUGAAAUAAGGAGGCCCUGGAGAAAAGGUGACAUCUCAGCAAAGACUUGAGUGGGGCGACAUGAAGGGCAGAUCAUCUGGCUCUCUGGGGGGAGAGUGCCCAGCGGAGGGAACAGCAGGUGCAAAGGCUCGGAGGUGACACUUGAGGGACAGGAAGGCGGCGGUGCGGCCAGAGCAGUUCAGAAGACGACAAGGCUGAAGUCAAGGCAUCAGCAGGGCCACACUUCCUCUGAGACAUGGGUAGAACCCUUCCUUGUCUCUUCCUAGCUCCUAGUGGUGGCCAGCAAUCCUUGGCUUGCAGCAGCAUCACUCUGAUCUCUGCCUCGGUCGUCACGUGGAAUUCUCCC